GUUAUACUCAGGAUCACGAAGCAAUGCGUACACGUCAUGGAUGACGUAGAUCCGUUACCAACACUAAAUCAAAAAUACGCGCCGCAAUACGUGGCAAUACGGAUCAAAAUCGAUCAAUUUGGGGGAAAUUAUAUUGGUACGACUGAUAGCGAAACAUAUGCUAAAGUUUUAUCGAUUUCACAAGUGUCAUUGGUGUCAACUUUGGUUAUGUUGUGUUAUUGUUUGAUUUUUCGCGUUUUUCUACUUUUCUGCUCGUGUAAUCGUAUCAGUUCUUUUCAGAACUAUAACAGUUCUUUAUAGAACUCCAAGUUAACUGUCCUGUACCGUGGUACGUGUCGCUUGCUUGAACGUAAACAUUCCACCAUGCCGAAGCCCUUGCACAAAGAUGUAAAGCAAAUGGACGAUAAUUUAGUGGACUAUUUUGCUAAAGAAUGCGAUAGCGGGGAACCUCUUUUACCACUAACAGCUGUUCAAGACAGGGUUGCUGCUGCUCUGGGUGUAUGUGUGCGAACAGUGAACUCCGUGGUACAACAAAUAAAAACCGGAGAAGGUGUACAUUCUCCCAAGAAAUAGAGACCCCCGAACAAAGCAAGUGUGUGAUAUUAGCACUUCGGAGCAGUGUGCUAUUCGAGAAUGCUUAUAUGGAAUGGUCGAAGAAAAAAUACAUGUUACACGAUCGCCAUUAAUUGAUUGCUUGAAGGAGAAACAUAUAUUUGAGGGUUCUGUGAGCUCGUUAGGAAAAAUUUUACAUUCUCAAUUGGGUUUCGUUAUUCGCCAACCAGUGUACGGAAGCGUCUUAUGGAAUUACAACAUGUUGUUCAUGCAAGAACCAAAUUCUUACGUGAAUACAUGCACAAUCAGCAGAACCCAAAUUCUUUGCCAUGUGUAUAUCUUGAUGAAACAUGGAUAUUUGAAAAUGGUUCGGUAGUUAGGUCAUUGCAAGACGAUAGUGUCAUAAGUAUCAGGAUGUUCAAAAUAGAAGGGAAAAUUUAGUAAUGUGUCAGUUUCACGUUAGUUAUUUAUUCUUCUCACUAUAUUUUAGGUAUAUUGUAUUACAUGCAGGUACAAGCAAUGGAUUUAUUGAUGAAGCAGCGCUAGUAUUUUCUUCUAAUACCAAAAAUCCAGACUAUCAUGGCGAAAUGAAUCAACAGAAUUUUCUCAAGUGGUUUCAAUUGCUCAUGAACCUUGAAGAACCACCACAGAUUAUUAUAGACAAUGCAAGCUACCACAGUACCUUUGCAAACAAAUGUCCCAGUGGUUCAUGGAAAAAGGCAGAAAUUCGUGAAUGGCUUUAACAACAUGACAUAAGUUCAGAUUCACAGCUGUUAAAAACGGAACUUCUUCAUUUGGUUGCACAAAAUAAACCAAAAACGUAUGUUGCCGUGAAUUGGGCCAACAGAAUGGCCAUAGAGUAUUGCGAUUGCCGCCAUAUCAUUGUGUGUUUAACCCUAUAGAAAAUACUUGGGGAAUUACUACAAAUUUUUAUUCCAAACACAUUGGGCGUGAUGGUUAUGGUCAAAAAAUUCCGUGGAAAUGUGGAAAGAAGCGUUAGCACAUGUCACGCCCACAAUGUGGAAAAAUACUGUUGACCAUAUGAAUAAAAUAAUACGGGAGUGGUGGGAACGGGAAUUAGUAUUUGACCGUGAAGAGAUUGCGCCGUUUAUAAUCGACAUUAACGAAGAUUCACAUUAUAGUUUUAGUGAUUAUGACAGUGAAGAUUCUAAUACUGCAGAGGGCAUUCAGCCACUGUAACAUGUAGGUUAUUUUCCAUUACCAUCCUAAUUGAUUGUACUAGCGGCAUGUUCUGCUGAUGUCUUUUAUAAUCACACUAUCACUUCACUGGCCAAAUAUACAAAUCACUGGUCAGACGACGACGUUGUGUAACAUGCAUACUUAUUAUUGUUUAUACUUUACUUUUGUAUCUAUUCCAUGUCAAUAAAGUAACUUAUUCUGUAGAUGUGACGUGCCUAUUGUGGCAUUGAAGACGGUAAGCAUAUUUCUCUAACUUGAAGCCUGUCACAACUGUUCAAUGCUGUCUGUUUGAGAC
Molecule: long non-coding RNA, 2047 nt
Organism: Zophobas morio
Lineage: Eukaryota; Metazoa; Arthropoda; Insecta; Coleoptera; Tenebrionidae
Exons: 4
Source: RefSeq, a predicted model, not a curated record